UGGGCGGAAAUGGCUGUGUGAGCUCCGUUUCUGGGGGGGUUUCCGGGUUCCCGGGUUGAGUUUCCGGGUUGUCCACCGGUGGGGGGCUUUUCUUACGAGACGAGCAAGACGGUGGCAAGAAGAAGCGCUUUCACCUUCUAGUGGGAGCGCCAUGUCGGGACGCGAGGGUGGAAAGAAGAAGCCCUUGAAGCAACCCAAGAAACAGUCGAAGGAAUUAGAUGAGGAAGAUAAAGCUUUCAUGCAGAAGAAGAAGGAGGAGCAAAAGAAAUUGGAUGAGAUGAAGACAAAAGCUGCUGGCAAGGGCCCUCUUGCCGGAGGUGGGAUUAAAAAAUCUGGCAAGAAGUAGAGAGUUCUCUGGGACCGCUGUGGCAAGAAAAAGAAAAUGAGUUCCUUCUCCUUUGAAGCUUAGCAGUAGGAAGAAUUUCCAAGCUAAUGUUGCGGGAAACAUUAAUAUAAGCACCUUUGUACAUUUUGUUCAAACAAAAUAAAGUAUUGGUUUGUUUUAAUGAC
This is a long non-coding RNA of Thamnophis elegans (Western terrestrial garter snake), 510 nucleotides long. RefSeq lists it as uncharacterized. Lineage: Eukaryota; Metazoa; Chordata; Lepidosauria; Squamata; Natricidae. The transcript has 4 exons. The record is from RefSeq and is a predicted model, not a curated record.